Molecule: long non-coding RNA, 41234 nt
Filed under: Citrus sinensis (sweet orange)
Lineage: Eukaryota; Viridiplantae; Streptophyta; Magnoliopsida; Sapindales; Rutaceae
Description: long non-coding RNA (CSIN_LNC001717)
Source: RNAcentral
GAUCUUGGACUGAAUGGGGAGCUCAACCCGACACACCUGUCGAGACCUCUUCAUAAAUCAUAAUGCAAAUACUGUCAAUAUCGUGGCAGCGACAUGCAUGGGCCAGACUGCAUGCCUGGUCCAAUACACAGAUGGUACUGAUUGAGGCUGCAUAAAAAACGGCCGAAUAUUGUCAAUUUUAAUCUUUUUUUUGGGCUGCUGUACCGUNNNNNNNNNNNNNNNNNNNNNNNNNNNNNNNNNNNNNNNNNNNNNNNNNNNNNNNNNNNNNNNNNNNNNNNNNNNNNNNNNNNNNNNNNNNNNNNNNNNNNNNNNNNNNNNNNNNNNNNNNNNNNNNNNNNNNNNNNNNNNNNNNNNNNNNNNNNNNNNNNNNNNNNNNNNNNNNNNNNNNNNNNNNNNNNNNNNNNNNNNNNNNNNNNNNNNNNNNNNNNNNNNNNNNNNNNNNNNNNNNNNNNNNNNNNNNNNNNNNNNNNNNNNNNNNNNNNNNNNNNNNNNNNNNNNNNNNNNNNNNNNNNNNNNNNNNNNNNNNNNNNNNNNNNNNNNNNNNNNNNNNNNNNNNNNNNNNNNNNNNNNNNNNNNNNNNNNNNNNNNNNNNNNNNNNNNNNNNNNNNNNNNNNNNNNNNNNNNNNNNNNNNNNNNNNNNNNNNNNNNNNNNNNNNNNNNNNNNNNNNNNNNNNNNNNNNNNNNNNNNNNNNNNNNNNNNNNNNNNNNNNNNNNNNNNNNNNNNNNNNNNNNNNNNNNNNNNNNNNNNNNNNNNNNNNNNNNNNNNNNNNNNNNNNNNNNNNNNNNNNNNNNNNNNNNNNNNNNNNNNNNNNNNNNNNNNNNNNNNNNNNNNNNNNNNNNNNNNNNNNNNNNNNNNNNNNNNNNNNNNNNNNNNNNNNNNNNNNNNNNNNNNNNNNNNNNNNNNNNNNNNNNNNNNNNNNNNNNNNNNNNNNNNNNNNNNNNNNNNNNNNNNNNNNNNNNNNNNNNNNNNNNNNNNNNGGGGGGGGGGGGGGGGGUGGGGGGUUGUGUUUAAUAUCAGAAUCCACAAUCUGAACCUCGGGGUCAAAAUUGUUGAUGUUGAAUUGAGGAAUAUGUCUUUGACAAAGCUGUCACAGCAUUCAUGGUGGAACAGACAUAUGUACGAAAGCUCCAUGCCUGCAUCUACCGGGUGUUACAAUCGCCAUUGUUGAUUAAAAUAAGCAAUACAUGGCUUAAUGAUUUCUCAAGUCAAAACUGACCUCUUACUCGAUUGAUUUCUUACAUAGCCAUGCGGAUGGUUUAAUUAACGCCACGAUGGAGCUGCUAAUGCAAUCCUUAACCUUGCUCUGCGACGUAAAUAGCAUAUAUAAUUAAUACUUGAAAGUAUACUGUGAAAUUAAGCCCCUAAACAGAGUCUAAUCUUUGAUCGGAUUAAUAUUGGAGCAAUGAUAUUUACCUAUUAACUAUAUGUUUUUUAAACUUCCGUGAUUCCCGCUGGUAAAAAUCCAGCUCCCACAACUGAUGAGAUAAUGGGUGAUUAUAAGAGUAAUAAAUUACAUCUAAGACACGUAAUCACUUAAGCCCAAGCGAAAGAAGCACCUGGAAAAGAGCAUAUUUACAUGACGGAUGCAUAUAUAAUGUUUCUACUAGGGAUGGCAAUUUGCGGAUUUGGGCCGGGCUUUUUAAAGUCCAGGCCCAAGCCCGCAUAAUUCAAAUGAAGCCUAGGUCCUUCAAAAGUCCGUCCAACUCGGGCCGGGCCUAGGCGGGCCUGGGCCGGGCUCGGGCCGUACUUGGACUUUUAAAAUUAAUUAUAAAAUAUUUUUUUACAUUAAGAAAAAUAUUUAAAUUAAAGAUAAUAAUCUAAUAUAUAAAUAGAAUAAUGGUCAAAUACAUGAAAUAUUAGUAAUACAACCUAAUAAAAUAACAAAUACUAAUAUAAAAAAUUAAACUAAUUUAAUAUUUUGAAUUUUUUCUUUUUUAUUUAAAUUAAAUUUAUUUUUUAUUCAUAAAUUUAAAAAGCCCGGGUCAAGUCCGGGCUUUUUUGCUAAGCCCUUGUCCAGGCCCAACAUAUGUGGGCUUUGUAAUAUUUGAGCCCAUAUCCAGACCCACCAGUGCGGGCCGGGCUUGGCCGGGCCUGGGCCGGCCCGGACGUUUUUGCCAUCCCUAGUUUCUACAGGGAUUCGCAGUUGUGGGCCUUUUUAAAUAUCCAACGGCCCAUAUAGGUUACCGAGUAUAUGGUACAGUUUGUCUCGGAGACCCACUACGUGGCGACACUGUGCAGCCAACCCUAGACACCCUUUUUUCACUCGGUCACCGCCGAAUCCGCGGCAGCCAUUCAGAGUAUCUCCGGUGAGCUAUUUGUUUUAUUUUAAUUUUUAUUUUGAAGCUUAUAUCGUGCUCUGUUGCUGUUGUUUCGUACUAAAUGUUUCAGAAUGCUUGGUUAUGUCUAGAGUAAAUGCUGGAUCUUUUUACAAGGGGCUUUUGCUUGUAUUAAAGUUUUUUUUUUUUUUUUAAUGUGUAUGUUAUAGGAGUAGGGGCUAAUUUGUAAGGGAAUCGAAUGGGUACGAAACAGGCAAUGACAAAAUUUAAAGAGGUGAGAGCACUGAGACAAUUCACUUUGGGUAAAGGGAAGUCCGCUGGUAGGAACUCCUCGGGGCGUAUUACGAUUUUUCACCGGGGGGGUGGUUCGAAGCGAUUGCAGCGAAGAAUUGAUCUGAAACGUACCACUUCCUCUAUUGGUAUUGUUGAAAGGGUUGAAUAUGACCCUAAUCGUUCCUCUUGGAUCGCUCCUGUACGAUGGAUCGAAGGGGUUCAGAUGCAGCAGAAGAAGUGCAACACCAUAGAAGAGUUUGAUCCGCCGCCGCUACGUAAGUUCUUCGAACCUACCACCGCCGCCAUCAGCGGCAAAUUUUCGUUCUCUUUCCUCUCCCAGAAUGUGGAUCAAAGAAAGGUAGCUUCCUUCUCACCUGGACUGAUGGCGGCUGAUGUAAAUGCCAUGGUUAGCAUUCCUAGUUCGAAGAGCCCCUUUACGACUACUAGUGAUAGCAAGGGUGCAGGAGGAAAAAGUAAAAUAACUUGCGCAAAGGAUGUCUUCUUUUCUGCAUUCUCAUCUCCAAUGGCCAGUGGAGAGACUGCCUCCCUUUCCUACCCUAGGAUGGCAGUAGCUGGAGCGAAGCCCACUUUCUUCGCCCCUCGAAUGGUAGAGAAAGUCGGAGGAAGUGAUAGCUCACCUGACCAAAGAGGGAAAAACACAUUAUCCCUUUGUGAGAUCCAAAAGUGGAGAGCAGAUAGCAGUUUCUGGGCACAUCGGAUCAAACCUAAGGCAGCACUUUCUUGGCAGGGUUUUAGGCGGCAAGAUACUUUAGGGAUUGUUGGAGCUGCUGAGCAUAACAAAUCAAAGCCAAAGACAGAUCGCAGCUUGCCUGCCAAGCCCAAGGAUGGAGCAUGCAGAGUACCUGUCACUUAUAUAAUAGCCAGUCAUCAAUUGGAAGCAGGCAAAAUGGUGGUGAAUUAUGAUGGGUCCAAACCUUCAACCGGUAACUUAUUGCCAUCUUGACAGAAUGCCUAUCUACACUAAGACUUUAUUCAGACAGCAAAGAACGGCCGAGUGGAUGGGGCAUUCAGCUGGCCUGACUGCUUUUAGUUAUAGGUAUGAGACACUUGGUCUAAAUUCUAUAAUUGGAAACUGCAUACCAUUAGACCCUCACAUUUGCGUAACUCCUUUCCCCUUUUUCAAUGAAGAGGACCCCUUCCCUCUGAUAAGACGGAAAGAAAAGGAAUACUUAUUCUUCUAUCAGUAUCCCUUCUAUUCUUUCUUUCAAAUUUCUUAAUGUACUUAGUUUUUCUUCAAUUCCAUCAAUAAUUAGUUGUUUUCAAACUAAUUUACUUAAAUGGUUACAAGCAAGUAUCUGCCAAUCAUUUUGCAGCAAGUUAGAAAAGCCUACAUUUGACGUGUUUUAUUUUGCAAACUAAACUCGUUGUUAAUUUAGUUGACUAUGUAGCUAUCCUGUUUGAAAACUACGAAAGUUGCGAUGUCUAUUAAAGCACUUUUUCAGGCUUAUUAUUGUCAAAAAGGUUUUUGUUAUGACUCAUUAGAUAAAACUCAACUAUAGGGAGAGAAUUAAAAAAUCUUGACUACAAUACAAUCUUAAUAAAAAGAAAAACAACCAAAUUUUGCAUUUCAAGAUUGGAAGCAGAGGAUGAUUCGAGUACAAAUCUAGUAUUUUUGGUUUUGCAUCCGGUGCCUCUGUUAGAUUGACUAUAACUGAGAUUAGUAGUAGAUUCUUAGACGACAGUGAUCUGUGAGUGCUUUUGGUAUACUAUGUUGUAUUAUUUAAUGAAUUAUAAUAAUUGUGUACAGCUUUUGGUGUUAUUGUACUGUAUUAAUUUUAUAUUAAUAUUACUUAAAUUUAUUACUGUUUUAUUAUUAAUUAUUAAAUAAUUAUUUCUAUAUUAAUUACUAAUAUAUAAAUAUAAUAUUAUAUAGUUUAUUAACUAAAAGAAUAUUAUAAUAUCAUUUAUUUUAUAUUUUAUUUAUUAUAAUAAAACAUAUUUAAUGCCUCAAUUAAUGGACGACAAUGCCUCUAUGUUCCAAACACACCCUGUGAUCCUAAGAACUGCAUAAAUUUUGUGAAAUGUAAGCUCUCUUUACAACUCUUUUGCAACAUGCAAGUAAUCUCAAUGUUGCUUUGUUGAUCACCAUGCCUAGCUAGAAUUGUAUGGCUCUUACUAUUGCACUCAUGGUAUUUGCUGUGAAAUGAUUGUGUAAAACCUGCAUUGAUUCCUGAAAAUUGAUCUUAUGAAUUAGCGUUACUUUUGUAACCUUUUAAAUUGUAGGUUUCCUUUUAAAUUGUAAGUUUCGUGCUGAUCGCUAGAAGCUUACUUAUCAAAUUUUGUGUAUAAAUCAGGUACAUUUAAGGCUUUACCAUAUGAAAAAUUUAUGACAAUCUUAUAAAUGAUUAGAAAUUUCUAGGAAGCUGUACAGAAGAUUUCAAAUUAAUAAUUAAGAUUUUAUUUCCAUUUGUAUAGGAUUAUUUGAUGUUACUUUACGUUCAGCGCGCGGUAAUGUAUUGUAUUGUACUGCAUUAGUUAUGUUGUAUUAGGUUGCAUUGUAUUAUAAUGUAUUAAACUAUACUGCAAUAUUACGUUUGGUGUAUAGUGGAUUGUAUUAUAUAAAAUAAUAUUUUUAUUUUAAUAUUUUAUAUUAAAUAAAUGCUUUAAGAUUAUUUUGAGUUUUUAAUUUAAUUAAUUAAUUAUUUUAAUUAGAGAAAUUAAAAAAUAAAGACCGAAUGUAAACAAUGCCCUAUUACACAAACUCAACCACUCCCUUGAAUUUAUUUAAUCCGGAACUGUUCACAUUAUAAUGUAUUAUAAUACGUCAUAAUGUGAAUAGAAAAAUUCAUCAAGUAUGAGAUUAUGUUGCAUUAACAAAUGCAAUCUUUGUCUAAGGUAGUAUGUGAAACACACCCUUAGAUUAUUAAAUUGUGAAGGGAAAUUGAGAAGGUGUUGGGAAAAUGCAAAAAGACUCUCUGGACACAGAGAGAAAUGUGAAGGUGUUGUGAAAAUUCAGAACGAUUCUCAAGAUACCUCAAUAAGAGAAAGGAGAACUGUAAAGGUGUUGGGAAAAUUCAGAAAGACUCUCAUGACACGUCAAUAAGAGAGCACGCAACUGACGGUAUUUAAAUUUCAAGAAAUUUUCAUGUCAACGUUUCUUUCUUUGGGGAGUGAAUUUGCUAAUAUCUUGUCAUUUUGAAGAGUGUGUUAAGUUUGAAGGAUUUUAUUAAUAGCCAAACUACCCAAUUUCUUUUGAAACUCAAUUUUUCGGUAAAGAAUAUGCUUUUGUUCAUUAUAUAAUUCGAACUUAAUUCACCCGUAAAUUCAUUUAGUUUCCUCUAAUAUUUUCGAUGUUGUUUGCAUAGGUGUUUCAUUAAUUUUGGAAGUCUGAAGGCAUAAUCAAGAGUUAUAAAUAAAAGAAAAAGAAUGGUAAAAAAGAGACUACAUACAAACUUAAUUUAUUGCUUCAUUCAUGCAUAUAAUUGUUGGUAGGUGCUGCAAUGUGAGUGAGAAAAAACAAAAAAAGAAGUCACAAAAAAUUCAUUUUAGAAAAGAUAAAAACUGUAAUACAAAUAAUUAAAUUAACACAACACUUACAUGGAAAAAGAAAAGUACAAUAUUGUUAUUAAUAUUAAAAUAAAUUUACCAAGAUAAAAAUAAUAAUAUAGUUUAGUCAUUUUAACUUUUAUUUUAUGCCUUUAUACCUUCAAUAAUCGGACUACAUUUUUUUACUGGAUUUGAUAUAUAAUUGAAAUAGUAAAAAGAAUAAUAAAUAAUGUUCUUGUCCACCUUUUCUUUUAUUACUACGAAUCUCUUGUUAAUUAUUAACAAAGAAAUUGUGGUUAUUUUGACAUGUUAAUGAUCAGUUUGGUGUUAAGGUGCAAGUUAUAACUGCUUACAAUUCUUGUGAAUGUUUAGUAAAUCACUAAAAGUAAAAGUUGAUGAUACUUGUAAACAUAAUUAUCAGAAUUUGAUAAAUUUUUAUUAAAAUACUCAAAUCAAAAUAAAUUGAAUAAAAUUAUAAAAAAUCAACUGGGCUUUUUAAGCCGAGCUUUGCCUGUUAGGCUUAAUUACCAGGCAGCUGGGCUUGCCAAAUAGACCCCCAGUCUAUUUGGCAAAUUCAUGUCAACACUCAUCAACACCAAUCGCCCAUCACCAUGCGAAAUCAAUUAUAAUUUUAAGAUUUAUAAAAGAUUUACAUUCCAUAAUCCCAUUUUAAUUGUUGACUUUAAAUUUAACCCAUUAGAUCAAAUUAGAUGGUUAACAUAAAUAUACGAGGAUAUUCUUCAUAAUCUUUUUAUUCUUUUUUAAUUUUUUAAAAGAUGGACAAAAUCCAAAUCAAUUUUGCAACCUGCUUAAAUUUAGGGAUAUUAUAUUUGUAGCUAAGCAUCCCAAAAGAUCCCAAAGAUAUGGUGUAAAGAAAAUUGCGAUUACUAACUAUUGUAUAUUAUGAACUUUAUGAUGAUUUUAAUAAUAUCAAAUGCAGACUCUAAACAAUUAUUUUAGCCUAAUUAAUGAUUCCAUACCUCUUCUUUUCACACCAAAGAUUUUAUCAAUUGAAUUAAUUAACACCCACAACAAUCAUAUAAGUAAAAACAACAUCAUCUCAUGAAAUUGCAGUAAUUGAAAUGAUAAAAGCCUCAAAUUGUAACACAUAUUAACAUAAUCAUGUGUCACCAGAAAAUAAGAUAAACCCAGAAAUAACCAUCAACAUUGCAAAUUGCCAUAGAUAUAAAAAUAUGUGCAGGUAAAGAAAUUUUGCUCUGUACAGGCACAGUAGAGCUACAACUCACCACCUAAACUACUUGAUUAGUUGAUUUAGCCAGUGAAGACAAAAAAGAUCCUCUUGCAAUUGAAGAUUUCUUUGAGAUAGUAGCCUUAGCCUUUGGACUGUACGACUUGCUGUGACCAAUGUCCAAUCCACCUCCAUAGCUCUUGCAUGACUUCAUUUUCAUUCUAUAAUAAUGACUCCCUUUAAUAUUCAUUUUUGCAAGAUCUUCUAUGUUCUUCACACUUGCUAAUGAUGUAAAUGACUGCGACUUGCCUUGAUAAAACUUUGACAAACCUCUCCUGCAACCCCAAAAUAUAAUGACACUAAUUAUUGAUCAGUACUUAAGACCAAAAUUUUGAAAUUAAACAACAGAUUAUCCUCCCAAUGAGUUAAUUGAUGCUUACUUGAUGGGAAGCUGAGCCAUGAGCUCUGAGAAUUCAUAGAGAGGUCCGCCGUUUGAGGAGGACGAUGAAGGAGAACAUGAACUUGAUGUUGAAGAGGAUGCAUCCUCCACCAAUUCUGAUGAAGACAUUGAAGAAGACACAGAGUUCGUUGAAUCUUCUUCUAAUGAAGAAUCAAUGGAAAAUGUUGAAUCUUCAUGACUAUCAAUUUUCUUCGAAUUCAGCUGUUGAAAUAUUUGCUUGCUGCUACAACUCUCCAUGAUGAUCAUAUAUAUAUAUAUCCAACUUAUGGUUUCAAUCAAAUUAAUAACUUUCAGAGUCUGAAUAAGAAUGAAGAAGAUAUUUGGCUUGAAGAAAUUUUACAUAUAUAUAGCUUCUAGUUUGCUUGGCGGCCUGCACACAUUGGAUAACGUUGACAAAUAUAUAUACAUAUAUAGAUAAGUAAACAUAAUGUUUAUUUAUGGAAUAUUCUUUUUCUUGCACUACUGCUGUGUGCUGAGAAUUGUCAUUAUCAGCCAAGAGAUUGUAUGGUUUAAAUUUAUUGCAUUUCCCAUACUACUAGGAAAGAAGAUAAGGCCUAAAUUUGAAGGCAUCCAUAUCCGAGUCACCAAUCUUCUUUUUAUUUGGCUCAAACUGAUGUCACCAUCUUUAGCAACUUUUGCCCCAUAAAGCUAUGACAAUAUCUGCACUUUUCAAUGUCUCAGGAUUUAAUAUUCAGGGUGACUUAAGUUAAAGCUGUGUGCCGGGGGGAGGGUGCUUAUUUGGAUAACACUUCCACCAAUUUUUGUUUAUUUUGCAUCCACAAUUUACAAUAUUCAAGAAUUUCAAUUGUCCCCAUUCUUUAUUUUAUUGCAAAUCCGAACAAAUUCCAUUUGUCUCUGAUUUAAUUGUCCUCUGUGUACCACCGCUUAAAAUAAAUCAUUGUUGUGAUAAUAAUGCCUUGACUAUCCUAGUAUUCUUAUUUGAGCAUUAAUUAAUAUGACAGAUUAUUUAUUACUUUAGCUCUAACUCUGAAUUAUUCACGAAUUAUGAUGAGUUUCUCAACUUAUAUUUCAACUCUUGAUCGAGUAUUUAUUUUUCAUGAAUCAGAAAUCAUAACUUUACCUCUUAUUAAUAAAUAUUAAUAGCCUGAUUUUGGGACUUGGAUAAUUGUUGGACAUAGGAUUCCUAUCAUUACUCUUGUUAUAAUGUACCCUCUAUUCCAAAUUUAGUUUGCGCUAUUUCUUAAAGAAAAGAUAAUUAAUUUGUGUUAUCAACAAAAUCGUUUUGGGACCAAAGUUUGGUGAGAUUAAAGAAAAAGGAUAAGGCGAGUGACUUCGAUUUGGCAGCAGUCGUGAGUCAUGAUAGAGGGAUGCGGUGUAUCAUUAAUUAAAUAGGCGAUUGAAAUCGCCACCACAUGACCACAUGCUAUUGCAGGUAGGCCUUACCUAUUUAUUGGUUGACGGUUUAAAUGUUUGAUUCAUCAUAUAUCCCUACAUUACAUAAUGCCUCUCCUCUCUGCUGUGCCUGCCAUAUUUCUCCUUUAGGAAUCCUUUAAACUGUCCAUACUCCGUUUGAUUACAGCAGCCUUUCUAUUUUAAAAUAAAAUCCUAAGAAACUCACUACUCAUUUGAGUUAUCAAUUCAUUCUUCAGACAAUCUUUCCUUUUCAAGUAUCUCGAGGCAGAGAUGAAACACUAAAACUUCAAGCUGCAAGAAAAAUUUAUAUAAACCAUAUGAUGCUUUGGUGUUACAUGAAAAUUGAUGUAAUGUUUGAUGAAGACUGAUAGCCGAUACACAUGUAAAAUGAUAUUGCACUCAACAUAUAUCAUUCUAUUACAAGAUAUAACUACUACCUUGGGCAAUUGACAGGAGGAUCCAAGCUGCCAACCAAAAUGCCAAGAUCAAUGUCCUUGUCUUCAAACUUUUUGAUGAAAGGGUGACUCUGAAAGCAUAAAAAAUUAUAGCAAUUAAGACUUUUAAGACAUUUGUUAAGUGAAAAGAUCCUGACUUGUUCGAAAUAUAGUAAUGCAGCACACUUUGAUUACUUACCAGGAGGUCCAAAGAUGAUGACCUAUCUCGAGGAUCCUUCUGUAUGCUGCAAAAGGCAAAAGAAACAAGUGAUCAAAAUAAUUAUAAUUCUGAGUUCAGUAAAUAAAAGGCAACAAAUUGUUGGGAAUAAACCUAAUAGCACUGGAUCUCUCGAUAAACUUAUUGUUUCCCUCUCACUCGAUAUGCUUCAUUUGUAAAGAUUAUCGUUAUUGUUUAUUGUUUAACAAGUAAACUAUUUCUUAGUAGUAAUAUCUUUGUAUAAGAAACUACCUGUUUCCUAAACAGGAAUACUUUUAAAACAAGAAAACUACCAAACAGGAAUCCUCCUAAUCCCAUAAAAUAACUACAAAAAGAAAUAGCCAACAAAACACGCGAAAGUUAGGAUUAAUUGCCUAGAAACCUGUUAAAAUUAGAAUACAAAAAAUCCUUGUUGAAAAGGAAACAUAUCUGCUAACACAUAUGCAGAUGAUUAUAAUAAUUAUAACAUGGGAUAAAAGAAUCAACAAUGCUUUCAUAUUGUUGCAGUGAUGUUAAUUGAUGAAUAACCACCUAUCUUCUCAUCCAAAAGAACAGAGAAAAUCAUGUGAUCUAUCAACAAAAACUUACUCACAGAAUUUUCUUCAUAUAGGCUCUGGUGAAAAGAAAAAGUUUUUAUAAUAAUGGACUAGUAGCUGGAACCAUCAGUUUAGACAAUAACAUAAGAAAAUUAGAACACACAAACUAUAAAGGAAAAGGUAAUGCCUUAAGACAAUGUUAAAAAUGCAAACUGAAGGUCUAGGAAAUACCAGGCUGAUACAAAUGAACAGAAUUCUGGGGAGAACUGAUCUGGUGGAGCAGUUGGUGGUGGGCUUUCCACAAUGGCCUCCAAAAGCUCAUAAAAGCUUGGCCAGCUUUGCUGGUCUUCAGAUUGCAUAUAAGGGAAACGCCCAAUAGCACAUUCAAGUACUACCAAGCCCAGACUCCAUAUAUCACUGCUAUAGUCGUAAGUGCUCCCACUAAUUCUUUCAGGCUGGAAAAGGAAAAUAAAAAUUUAUAGUUAAUCUUUUGCAGUAAACCAUACCGUCUCUGUGUGCUUUGAAUGUCCAAAUAUUUUUAAAAGCUCUCUAACAAAAGGCAACAAAAGAAUAAGGGUAACUGAGUCCAAAGAGAUAAGUUAUCACAUUUUUGUAAAAUGUUACACUUACCGACAUAUAGUUGUAGGUUCCAACAAAUGUAUCCCUUUGACCCAUAGAGCUACCUAGCAUGGCACUCACACCAAAAUCUGUAAUUUUUACUUCCCCUUUAUGGUUUACCAGCAGAUUGGAUGGCUUUAUGUCCCUGUGUAUUACAUGUCUCUCAUUAUGCAAGUACACGAGACCUUGUAAAACCUGGAAGGUUACAAAAGAAUUUAUUUGUACCUCCUUUAGAGAGAGAAAAAAUACUCUAAAAUGUUGCAAUGACUUUUGCGUUGUGGCAAAACAUGUUAAGUCAAGAAGAAGGAAGCUUAGAGACCUGCUUACAAACAACUGCAAGAUACGGUUCAAGAAUUGUUUUAACUUGUCUGAUGAUAUCUGCCAGAGAACCACGAUCCAUGUAUUCCAACACAAGAGAAAUGACUCCAUUGUGAUAGAAAGAGUGGUAGCAAACAACUACAUGGGAACACUGUGAUGCUUGAUUUAUUUUCAGCUCCUGCACAAUUUGUUUACGGAUUUCCUCUUGUAUGUUCAUCUGGAUGAUCUGUAAUACACAACUGAAUGAGCUUCUGAACUAUAAAGAAAUCAGACUGCCACAGUUAGAGUUGCAAUUCCUUAAUCAUUUGACAUCUUUUUACUUUAGUAGUCUCUGUAAUAGUAUUACAAAACACAAAAAUAGAAGCAACGGUAACAUUUAUUUUGAGGAGAAAUGUUGUGCUAGGGUGAAAGUUUGUUUCCCAAAUUCAUCCAUUAUAUGAAGACAAUUAGGAAAAACAGAAUGCUGUAACAGAUAAUGGUUCUGAAAUUAGAUACACAUUUGGCAUAUUUGCAUCAUAAGGAAAAACUAGCAUAAGCCAAACUGUUGUAUGCUAAUAAAUACUAUCAUAAGAAGAGGAAUUGUUUUUGCUACUACAUGUACAUAAGAAAUAAAAACCUGGGGGGGGGGGGNNNNNNNNNNNNNNNNNNNNNNNNNNNNNNNNNNNNNNNNNNNNNNNNNNNNNNNNNNNNNNNNNNNNNNNNNNNNNNNNNNNNNNNNNNNNNNNNNNNNNNNNNNNNNNNNNNNNNNNNNNNNNNNNNNNNNNNNNNNNNNNNNNNNNNNNNNNNNNNNNNNNNNNNNNNNNNNNNNNNNNNNNNNNNNNNNNNNNNNNNNNNNNNNNNNNNNNNNNNNNNNNNNNNNNNNNNNNNNNNNNNNNNNNNNNNNNNNNNNNNNNNNNNNNNNNNNNNNNNNNNNNNNNNNNNNNNNNNNNNNNNNNNNNNNNNNNNNNNNNNNNNNNNNNNNNNNNNNNNNNNNNNNNNNNNNNNNNNNNNNNNNNNNNNNNNNNNNNGGGGGGGGGGGGGGGAAUUAGUUAUACUCUCCAAGUCUCACCAGUGUCUCCACUAAUUACUCCAUUCUGGAAAAUUGAUUACAAAAUAAUACUACCACUGAAGACCGUAAAUGGCAAUUAAACAUCUUCAUGUUCAUGUGUUUAGUUACUGUGCAGCUAUGCGUACAGGAUCCACUUUUUGCAUACCCAAAUACUCAUGUGGAUAUGAAGCUUAAUAUUAAUUUAUUCUUCCAUUAAUGAAAUAAUUAUCAAUCCAAAAAUUAAAAAAAUGAAAAUCUUCUGUUCUAUCAGAAAAAAUUCGAAGAACAGAAGUUAAAAUAAUAAAAGGAAGAGGCUAAUAGAAAAUUCUAUGUUAUAAUUACCUUCAAUGCAAAUAAUCUUCCAACCCAUUUGUGGCGAACGAGUUGUACUACUCCACCGCUUCCCUUUCCUAUUACUUUGAUUGUCUCAAGGUCUUCCAAUGAGAAUUCAAAAUCAAACUCCUUAUAAUCAGAAGGCUGUUCAAAUUACAAGAAAAACAAAAUUAUGAGCUUACAGGCACAAAUUUGAGGGAAUCGUCCUAGAAAUGAGGAUAAACCUCUGAUAUGCAAUGCGAAGAAAUGCACAUUGCAACAAAGUAAAGUGAGCAGCGCUUAAGCAUAGGAUAUGAAAUUUCAAAUGACAAGAGUUUAAGACAUUAAGAUCACAGGCAAAAGGAUGAGAAGAUCAAUUCAUCAGAGGCUUGCAGUAUGCAUACAAAUGGUCUAGUACUUUGGUAGGUAAGUUAAGGAAACCAAUGUAGCAGUUUGAAAAUAUUCUUAAGCUUCCAAUAGUCUUUAAUUAGGCAUUCUGAAGACUGAAGACAUACAUCUGACCAGCGAAAGAAGCAAGAUAAACCCCAGAAUGAACAUUUGGAGAAUCAAAAUUCAAAUUGCCGACAGAGGGAAUUUUUUUAGAAAAAUCCUAACUUCUAGUACAAUCGUUAUCAAAGUCUUUUUGUGCCAGUAACCAUCACAGAAGAAGCAAACAUCAGUAAAUACAUCAAAAUCAUAUACAAAAGCAGAGAUAUCUCAAAAUCCAGCACCUACAUUGAUUUCUUACCUCUACAUAACUGACUCUAAAUCUAUCGAUAUUAUCACAUAAUAAAGUGCUAAUACAUGCCAAAUCCAGCAAAUGGUAAAAGAUUUUUGUAAUCCAAGCAAAUUAGAAGUUGAAAACAAACCAAACUAUAAAUGAAGUAAGAUAGUGAAAAUCUUACACGGGAUUCAUUUUCUUCAGAAAUUAGCCGCAAACCCUUCUGAUUCAAAAGCAAAUCGCCAUCAUGAAACGUCCCACUCGCAGUCCUGACAAAACUCAUCCAUUAUGACUAACCCAUUAUAUAUAUAAUUCAUCAAGAUUCAACUUUUUUCCCCUUCUUUACUGAUAUCAAUGCAAUUAAAUUACCCAAUAAAAUAAAAAAUGAAAAUGUUAAAAGUUUCCCUUUCUUUAGUUUUUAAUAACCUCAAACAAGCUAUGAGCAACAAUUAAAUAAAGAUACUUACAAGAAGGAAGUGAUAGGGGUUUCUUGAACUGGAACAGAGAGCUUGAGUUGUUUCAAUGGAGUCUUGGUCCUCAUUUCUUCCAAAAAAUUUACAGUAACUUCUUUUCUUUGCCUUCUUUCUAGGGUAUAAAUGGUGGCCCACUGAGAGUUCAGUGUUCUGAUUAUUCUGCUUUUCCUAACGGAACAUAAAUUCAAAUCAAUGGCCGCCCAAAAAUACAUCACUCAUGACAUUAUGAAUUAAGUAUUUAAGCGAAGAGAGGUAAUCAAGUGUGUCUGCACUUAUCAUGUUAUGGUGGGAUACUAUUACUUGCUGUCAGUAAGACUUUGACUACUUUUAUGGGUCCCGCUUUGGUUAAGAUUCUGGUGGUGGUGAUGCCACUGAGUCAGUUGAUGUGUUUCACCCAAUUAAAUUGUGCCCUUGAGCUUUUGAAUUUUUGGUUUGUUAAAAUAUUAUUUAUUAAUAACUUUAUAAAAUAAAUGAAUGAGUUUACUACAGUACCUUAAUUAUCAGAUGGCAUCAAGAAUAUAGAGCUGGCUUAUCUCAAAACACAAAUAUUAGAUUACCGAAAAUAAGAUCAAUCAUUGCAUUGGACCACCGGACGAUACUUUACUAGAUGCAGUAUUGAAUAGCUUUUUCAGAAUCAUGGAAACAUUCUUGUUUAUUAUACAAUCUUCAACGUAACCCCAACGUCUCAUUAAUCUAUAGUCAAAAUUGCUAAUGUCCUAUCCUUGUCCAUGUUAAUUGAUCCAUUUUUGCAUGGAAGACGAAUUCUUCCAUUUCUAACAUAUUCUCAAGUUAAGAAACAUUAACUAUCUCAAGGGUGAAAAAAUUUUGUGGGUUAUUGAGAUGGUGGGUCCGACCGAUUAGGAUAUGCUAUUUCGCAGAUUUGAUAUGGUAAAUCCCGACAGAAAAAAUUUUUAUUUUAAAUUUUAUGAGCUCGUAACAUUUAAAUUUAUGUUCCACCAUAAAACCUAUCAAACUCACCAAAUAACAGGUUUUAAUUGGUUCGGCGCACCACAAAAGACUCUCUUAUCCCAAGAAAGAAAAUCAAGUUAAAGAUUUUUCUUUAAUUAAUAAGAAUUUGUAUAUAGUGCUAUGUUUUUUUUUUGUAUAUACAUAUUUUUUUUUAUAAAGGGUGCAUUUACAUUAUUGUAUAGUUAAAAUUUAUUAAACUAUAUGUUUUUAUUUAAUAAAUACAAAUCACAUCUUUCUAAAAUAAUAGCAUAAGAAUCAAAAUGAGCAUUAAAUCCAAAGGCAGGCCAUAGGCAACCGAUCGAAAGAGAUAAGCCAAAAAGAAACUCAGAAUGUCAUUAAAGAAAAAAAAAAAGAAACUGAUAAUAAACGCAAAACUAAGGCCUGUAAUAGGUGACAAUAAUAAUCAAGGCUUUUCCCAAAUGCUUGCUUUUUUAAAAUUUGCCUCUGUUAUGUCUCUACUUGUGCCUUCCACUAUACUAUAAUUUUAACGUUGCUUAGAAAAGGCAAAGACCUCAAAAUUAUUCGUUUUAGUCAAUAUAUCCUAUAAAUAUUAGAUCAUCCAAUUGAAGUUUUGCACAUCAAUCGGCAAACAUUGAGACGUAAGAGUGUUUACAAUUAAUGAGAAUUGAAGGAUUUAAAAUGAAAGAUGAAGAAGAUUAUUUCCUGUCUUGUAAUUUUUCCUUUCUAAAAAAUCUGUAAACAUAUUCCAUUGUAAAGCUCUCGGAUUCAAGCAAUUUAUAUAAGCAUCUCUCAUUUAAUCUAUUUAAAGUUCAAAUGCAUGUUUAGAUUUCCGCAAUUUAAUUAAAGUUUUUAAUUUUAUAAAAUCUGCUACAUUCCUCUAAGGCAAAGAGACCGGAUCUCUGUCCUUAGUUGUAUCUUCUCUUCUCUCUCCAUCCAGUCAGAAUACUAUUUCUGGGAUCCAGAUCUAGUAUUAUCUAUGAGCCUUUAGACUUUGUUGCUAGGCUUGUUUAAAAGAAUUUGUUUGAAACCAUCCAUAACUUUGCCUUCUAGUAUUUCGGCUGGAAAACAGAACGUGCGAGAUAUUGAUCUGUUCUAAGUCAGAUCUGGUUUCAAAGGCAGAUUAAGUUCUGCAUCAAUCUGGUCACAACGCCACGUACUAAAGUAUAUAACCAAAUCAAUUCUUCAUUAAAAUUCAAUUUAAAAUUUGCUGAAAACACAUCUAUCCUUCGAUCCUAUUUCCUUCUGGUAUCAGAGCCAAGGGGGAGGAUAGUGUAAUAUAGGUUAGAGAUUUGUGUUUAAAGACUUGUGUUUUAGUUGAAUUUUGUGUGUGUGGUGAGUGUUACUUCUGGUGCCUUGGUAGUUUUUGGUCGUAAGUCCCGAUUUGGUUGUAGGGCAGUAAAACCAAUUCUUAACCUUGGAUUGUAGCAAUACCUACAUGACUAAAACUAGAAUAUAGGUUUUUACCAUGGACUCUCUGCUCUGUAGAGCAUCAUCCUUUUCUAGCUCUUCUUCCGGGAAGACUAGUGAUUCAAAGAAUGUCGUAAAUUCAGAAGAAUUUGUAAUUAAAGACUUUAAUAAAGCAAUUGGUAAUUGGGAAUUACCAAAGAUAUCUAAAGAAAUGAUUUACAAAACAAAAAAGCUCGAUUUUUUAAAGAAUGACUAUGUUAUAAAAACUGAAGAACGAGACAUAACCCUUUCAAAACCUUUUGAAACAAUUCAUUUGUUUUCAGAACAGUCUUUAAAGAAAUUAAAAGAUAAAAAUUUUAAUUAUAUUCAUAUCGGUUUAAUAUAAGUUGGUAUAAAACCUUUAACAAAAGAAGGUCUCGAUACCUCUAUUCUUGUUGUCCUAAGAGAUGGACGAUUUAUAUCUUUUGAUGAUUCUUUACUAAGCAGUAUAGAAUCAAGUCUUUAUAAAGGUCCCAUUUCAUUCAGUUGUUAUCCAAACAUAACAAUUUCUUUAAAAGACAAAAAUAUUUUAAAAAGCAUGAUUUUACAAAUCAAGACCCAUAAUUAUCAAAUGAUUGAGGGAUCUGUCCCAGUUGCCUUAAUCUUUAAAAUUUCAUACAAAGCCAUGAUUUCUGCGUUUAGUACGCAACACAAAUUUCAGUCAAAAAGAGAUGAGACUCUUCUCUUGUAGACUGAUCUGUCUAAAGCCAACACUGUUAUUCCAAAACCUAUCCAAUGGAAAGAUGUCAAUCUUCCAGACGAAUGGAUUCUUGAAGGAGCUACCGCUCCAGUAAUUCCAAAACAACUUGAGCCUAAUACAGAGUUGCAAAAUGUAACUCAAUAUUCUGAUGGUAAAGUCAAACUUUCUUUUAGGAGAUCUACAUCUACUAGAUUCUCCGACAAAGACUCAUGCUCAAGUAUUCCUUCACUAGAAAGGAAAUUUUCAAAAAUUCCUUCUGUUAUAAAUCUUCAUUUCCAACCAAUAAAGAGUUAACCUAGGUUUUCCACUUCGGAUAUACCCAGUUCUUCUAUUCACUCUGUUGACUAUACCACUAGUGUUCUACACCCAAUCUACACUAGUAGUCAACACGGACAAAGACAGGAAGAGAAGGAACCUUUUCCUCCUACUUCCCCUACAUUUUCUGCUGUAACAGAAAAUGUAAUUAGUGUCAUUGAAAAAGAAUUUGAAUUAGAUAAAACUCUUCUUCAUAAUGAUUUUUAUUCUGACACUAAUAAAGAAAAAAGACUUUGGUUUUUUAAGAAAUUCCUAAACCAAAGAAAAGAAAUCCAACAAAUCUAUUAUGAGUUUGUAAAUAUGCAUAAAGUUCAUAUAUUAUUUUUUGAUUGGUUUCAGAUGUAUGCUUCAGAUAACAAGAUUAGUUAUCCUUUUAAAGAAUCAAAUCCCAUUACUAUUAGGAAGAAAAACACUGAAUGGAUUCUUUCUGGUAGUGGUAGAACUAUAGAAUCUGAACAUCCACCUCUUAGGAGUUUGACCAUUGAACAUGGUGAACUUCCUGUUGAGAUUAAAACCUCACCUUAUAAAAUCCAUAAAGAUCCAGAGUCGGAUUUAGAUAGUAUUAUCCAACAGAAUAAUUUCUGUAAUGCUAAUCUAAAUACGAUAGGAAAACAGUUGACUAGGAUAGAAAAUCAAUUCCAAAAGUCAACCAUAGCUGUUUCUCCUACCACUUCAAAAUUGGAUUCUGACAAAAAGCUUAAAGAGCCUAUUUUCAAACAUUUUCAGGUUUCGAAAGAUAGUUAAAAGCUUGUUCAAGGGUCAAAAUCAGAUUUUGCUAAAGCCAUUAGAGACCAAUUGGAUAGAAUAGAAGCUUCUUCCUCAUCCAGUAAGGUCCAGAUAACCCCAGACAGUGCUCAAUCUAGUAAGAUUGGUGUACUAGAAUAUAACAAUGUUUCUAUAGCCUCUUCAGACAUAGAAGCAUUUAAAGAAGAACCAUCUGUUCCUAAAGCCAACAAAAUCCAUUGGGAAUUAGCCCUACCUACUGUCAAAUCUCCACCUGACCUAGCCAUAGACAACAUGCCAAGUGCAUUAAACCAAUCUCGUUUUAAUGCAUCCUCUGUCUAUGAGUGGAAUAUUGAUGGUAUGUCUGAGUAUAACAUCCUAGGAUUGUUGCAACAGAUGACCAUAGCAGCAAACACUUAUAAAACUCAGUCGGGAGCUUCUGACAAAGCCAUUGCAGAAAUUCUCAUUGUUGGUUUUACUGGUCAACUUAAAGGUUGGUGGGAUCAUCUUCUCACCAAACAGCAACAGUUAGAUAUCCUAGAUUCUAUUCAAAUAGAUGAAAAUGGAGCUCCCAUUCUUGAUGAAUUUAAUAGUCCGAUUCAGGAUGCCAUUGCUACCCUGAUUCUGACUAUAUCCCUCUAUUUCAUAGGUGAUCAUUCACACCUUAGAGAUAAAAAUGCUGAGUUACUACAUAAUUUGAGAUGUAGGAAACUUAGUGAAUUCCAAAACUACAAAACCACAUUCUUUACCAUACUUUUCCUUAGGGAUGAUGCAAAUCAUAUAACUUGGAAGGAAAAAUUCAUUGCAGGUUUACCUACCCUAUUAGGAGAAAAGGUUAGGAAUUCUAUUAAAGCCCUUUAUGACAACCGUAUACCAUAUGAUGAGCUCACCUACGGUGAACUUGUCAAUUUCAUUAAUAAGGAAGGUUUAAAGAUUUGUCAAGACUUAAAAUUACAGAAACGACUAAAAUGGGAGCUUAGAAAAUCUAAGCAAGAAUUAGGUAGUUUCUGUAAGCAAUUCAAUUAUGACCCCUUUAAAACCUCCACCUCAAAAGAUUGUGAUGGUAAGUGUUUUUCAAAACCUUACAAAAAACAUUACAAGUCUAAAAGCCAUAGAAAACCCUUUCAAGAUUUUAGAGAACUUUCUUAUAAGAAACCAUCGAGGCCUUAUAAGAAGCCCAAUUUCUCUAAAAAGAAAGAGUUUAAACCUAAACAAAAAACUCCUUUUAACUACAAAGAAACCACAUGUUAUAAAUGUGGAAAGAAAUGUCUCACUGCAAAAUUCUGUAGAAUGAGCAGAAAACUCCACGAGCUUGACCUUGAUGAAGAAAUACUCUCUAAAGUAGCCCCUUUGCUUAUAGAGUCUUCUGACUUUGAGUCUUCCAUGACGGAAGACAGUGAGCCUUUACAGGUUGAUGAGUUAAUUGACUCAGAUACGUCUGUUUCCAGUGAUAGUGAUUCUGAUACGGAAUCCUAUUUAAAGACUAAAAAACUCAAUGUUUUGACUAAAGAACAAGAAACUUUUCUUGAGUUAGUAAAACAUAUUUCUGACCCUACUCUUUAAAAAGAGUAUCUUGAUAAGCUUCUAAAAACCCUAGAGCUAAGAGAUAGACUAUAAACUUCUAAAGCCCCUAUCAUUAAAAAGAAUACGUAUGAUCUUACUGAGAUCUUGAAUAAAAAGAAAGCAAAGAAAACAAUUCCCAAUAUCCAAGACCUUCAAAGAGAGAUUAAAGAAAUCAAACUUGAAAUAAAAGACUUAAAAGAAAAACAAAAGAAUGAUUCCGAAACCAUCCAACUCCUCCUACAAAAACAAUUACAGGAUGAUUCGGAUAAAGAAUCUGAAAAUGGUGAUAAUGGUGAUCAAAGCCUAGAAAACAUUGAAUCUAUACCCAAUGACUUUCUGUUUGUUUUAAAACAAAUCACCACAAGAAAAUACUUGAUUAAAAUCACCUUAAUUCUCUCUAAAGAUUUUAUAAUUGACACCAUUGCCCUUUUUGAUACUGAUGCCGAUUUAAAUUGCAUUAAAGAAGACAUUGUCCCUAAAAAGUUUCACGAAAAAACCACUGAAAGACUUUCUGCUGCUAAUAAUUCAAAAUUAAAAGCUAAAUCUAAAGUUGAAGCCUCUAUUCAUAACAAUGGUUUUGAAUUUAAGACUUCUUUUAUUUUUACAAAUGACAUACACCAUACUGUCAUUUUAGGAACCCUCUUUAUAAAUUUAAUUACCCCCUAUACUGUCAACUAUGAUAAUAUCUCAUUUAAAGCAAGAUCUAAAAGACUUAUUUUCCCUUUCAUAGAAAAACCAAAAACAAGAAAUUUAAAUAUUGUUAAAGCUUGUUCUGUUUAUCAGAACCAAAUCAAUGCACUCCUUAAAUCUAAACAAAAUGAUUUAACUUGUUUGAAAAAAGAUUUGAGUUUACAAAGAAUUGAAAGCCAAUUACAAAAUGAAUUUAUAAAAAGAAAAAUCUCUGAUUUUAAAGACCUCAUUGAAAAAGAAAUAUGCGCGGAUCUACCAUCUGCUUUCUGGAACAGAAAAUAACAUUUGGUUGACUUGCCUUACGAAAAUUCCUUUGAUGAAAAACAAAUGCCUACUAAAGCCCGUCCAAUCCAGAUGAACAUGGAAUUGGAACAACAUUGUAAAGAUGAGAUAAAAGAUUUAGAAUAAAAAGGACUAAUAGUAAAAUCUAGGUCUCCAUGGUCUUGUGCCGCUUUCUAUGUUAACAAAAACUCUGAAAUAGAAAGAGGAACACCUAGACUUGUGAUAAACUAUAAACCUUUGAACAAAGCAUUAAAAUGGAUUAGGUAUCCCAUACCUAAUAAAAGAGAUUUGCUCCAGAAACUUCAUUCUGCAUUCAUUUUCUCAAAAUUUGAUAUGAAAUCUGGAUUUUGGCAAAUUCAAAUUCAUUCCAAAGACUGCUAUAAAACAGCCUUUACUGUUCCUUUCGGACAGUAUGAAUGGACUGUAAUGCCAUUUGGUCUAAAGAAUGCUCCCUCAGAAUUUCAUAGAAUAAUAAAUGACAUUUAUAAUCCUUUCUCUGAAUUCUGCAUUGUUUAUAUUAACGAUGUACUGAUCUUCUCCCAAACAGUAGAUCAGCAUUUCAAACAUUUAAAGACCUUUUACCUUGCCACUAGAAGGGCUGGUUUAGCCAUUUCUAGUUCUAAAGUUUCUUUGUUUCAAACAAAGAUCAGAUUCCUUGGUCAUUAUAUUUCCAAAGGAACCAUAACACCUAUAGACAGAUCUCUUGCGUUUGCAGAUAAAUUUCCUGAUAAAAUGCUUGACAAAACCCAAUUACAAAGAUUCUUAGGAAGUUUAAACUAUGUUCUCGAUUUUUGUCCAAACAUCAAUAGGAUUUCAAAGCCAUUGCAUGAUAGAUUAAAGAAAAAUCCUGUUGCAUGGACUGAUGAGCAUACUAAGACUAUUAAACUGAUAAAAUAAUCUGUUAAAAAUAUCCCAUGUUUGUUUCUUGCCAAUCCUACAUUACUUAAAAUUGUUAAAACUGAUGCAUCAGAGUUAGGUUAUGGAGGUAUAUUAAAGCAAAAAAAAAUGAUAAAGAACAAAUAGUGCAGUAUGUUUUUGCUCACUGGAAUGAAUGCCAAAGAAAUUACUCUACCAUUAAAAAAGAAAUUCUUUCUAUUGUUUUGUGUAUAUCGAAAUUCCAAAGUGAUUUAUUAAAUCAAAAAUUUUUGCUUAGAAUUUAUUGCAAAGCGGCAAAACAUGUUUUGAAAAAAGAUGUUCAAAAUAUUGCUUCAAAAUAAAUUUUUGCAAGAUGGCAAGCUAUUUUAAGCGUUUUUGAUAUUGAGUUUAUUAAAGGAGAUACAAAUUCUGUCCCUGAUUUUCUAACCAGGGAAUUUCUUCAAAACAGAUAAUGCCGCCCAAGAAGAAAGACAAAGGUAAAGCUGUUCUAAAAGACACUGAGUCACAUCCAACCUCCAAAGAACCCCAAUCAACCCCCUCUAAAGAAAAAUUACUUUCUUCUGCCAUGCCUAUAAAAUCCUGGAUUGAAAUGGCUGAAGAACAAGAAGCCCAAUAUAAAGCCACUACCUCCGAAGACCAGGUAAAAGAAUGAAUGAAUUCCAUUACAAAAUCUCCAGAGCUUAUGCUCGCCUUACAAAAUAUUUCUCAAAGUAAAGCCCUUUCUCAAGUUCCUGAGAAAGAAAAACUUGUUUCUAAAGAAAUUUCAAAAUCUUCUUCCCCUAAAGAAGUUGUUUCAUGUGAAAGCUCUUCUUCACAAAUUAUUGUUUCUCAAUCAAAGCUUUAACAAAAAUCUUCGGAUUGGUUUAAUAAAGCCUAUCAACAAAAUGUUUUAACCAUAGAAGAUGAGUUUUAUCAUUCUGAUCCAUUUUAGGCUAUUUCAAAGAUUUUUCCGAAAGGCUGAUUUUUCAAACCAUGGGAUUUAACAAAACCCCAAUCUUUCUAGAUUGUUUAUAUUAACGAUGUACUGAUCUUCUCCCAAACAGUAGAUCAGCAUUUCAAACAUUUAAAGACCUUUUACCUUGCCACUAGAAGGGCUGGUUUAGCCAUUUCUAGUUCUAAAGUUUCUUUGUUUCAAACAAAGAUCAGAUUCCUUGGUCAUUAUAUUUCCAAAGGAACCAUAACACCUAUAGACAGAUCUCUUGCGUUUGCAGAUAAAUUUCCUGAUAAAAUGCUUGACAAAACCCAAUUACAAAGAUUCUUAGGAAGUUUAAACUAUGUUCUCGAUUUUUGUCCAAACAUCAAUAGGAUUUCAAAGCCAUUGCAUGAUAGAUUAAAGAAAAAUCCUGUUGCAUGGACUGAUGAGCAUACUAAGACUAUUAAACUGAUAAAAUAAUCUGUUAAAAAUAUCCCAUGUUUGUUUCUUGCCAAUCCUACAUUACUUAAAAUUGUUAAAACUGAUGCAUCAGAGUUAGGUUAUGGAGGUAUAUUAAAGCAAAAAAAAAUGAUAAAGAACAAAUAGUGCAGUAUGUUUUUGCUCACUGGAAUGAAUGCCAAAGAAAUUACUCUACCAUUAAAAAAGAAAUUCUUUCUAUUGUUUUGUGUAUAUCGAAAUUCCAAAGUGAUUUAUUAAAUCAAAAAUUUUUGCUUAGAAUUUAUUGCAAAGCGGCAAAACAUGUUUUGAAAAAAGAUGUUCAAAAUAUUGCUUCAAAAUAAAUUUUUGCAAGAUGGCAAGCUAUUUUAAGCGUUUUUGAUAUUGAGUUUAUUAAAGGAGAUACAAAUUCUGUCCCUGAUUUUCUAACCAGGGAAUUUCUUCAAAACAGAUAAUGCCGCCCAAGAAGAAAGACAAAGGUAAAGCUGUUCUAAAAGACACUGAGUCACAUCCAACCUCCAAAGAACCCCAAUCAACCCCCUCUAAAGAAAAAUUACUUUCUUCUGCCAUGCCUAUAAAAUCCUGGAUUGAAAUGGCUGAAGAACAAGAAGCCCAAUAUAAAGCCACUACCUCCGAAGACCAGGUAAAAGAAUGAAUGAAUUCCAUUACAAAAUCUCCAGAGCUUAUGCUCGCCUUACAAAAUAUUUCUCAAAGUAAAGCCCUUUCUCAAGUUCCUGAGAAAGAAAAACUUGUUUCUAAAGAAAUUUCAAAAUCUUCUUCCCCUAAAGAAGUUGUUUCAUGUGAAAGCUCUUCUUCACAAAUUAUUGUUUCUCAAUCAAAGCUUUAACAAAAAUCUUCGGAUUGGUUUAAUAAAGCCUAUCAACAAAAUGUUUUAACCAUAGAAGAUGAGUUUUAUCAUUCUGAUCCAUUUUAGGCUAUUUCAAAGAUUUUUCCGAAAGGCUGAUUUUUCAAACCAUGGGAUUUAACAAAACCCCAAUCUUUCUAGCAAAGCAUACUUGAGUUCACUGAGUCAGUAAAGUUUAAACAUUUCUUCCUUAGUGAAGCUCAUUCUGAGCCAGCCUAUUCCACAGCUACCAUCCUUAAAGUCCUUAGCCCAAAUCAGUGGGGUGACCAGCUCCACAAAUCAAAGACUUUUCCCGCCAAUUUUCAAUGACGUUUAAACCGCUGUCUAACUUUCUCCUACUGGGAUUAUCAGCAGGCUUGGUUUAAUACCUUUUUUAUCCAAAAUCCCAAAAGAUCUCACUCUUGGUUAUUUUUCUUUAAUUCAAAAAUAACCGUUCAAAGCCUUUCAAAUUGGUUCAAAAUUUGGUGGAACUAUUUUGGGCCAAGCCCAGAAAUUCUAACCCAAAAUGCCAUCAAAUGUUUAAAUUUAUUUAAAGCCCACUAUGUUCCUUCUGAGCCUGAGAAGAGAUUUCCCCAUUUUCUCUGUUUCUGUACAAAUUUUUUCCUUCUCUGGGUUUGGAUGUGGAAUUUCCAAUACCACACCAUAGACACCCAACUAGUUUUACAAAGAACCUUCAAAGCCAAAUGGUGGUCUAAAUUUGAUGAACAGUCAAAAUUGUCUGAAGCCACAAUCCAAUCCUGGCUAUCUACAAGAGGCCUCCUUGCCCCAAGUAAAGAAGUAGCCAAAGCCCAAAGUACUUUCCUUGCCCAGAGAGCAAAAUCCCAAUCCCUGUUGGCCAGUGCCAAAACCGAAGAUGAAUAUUUCAAAGUAAUGCAGCAGCUUCUUGCCACGAGAUCUGAACCAUCCGUUGCAAGUUCUUCUUCAAGCUCCUCAGGCGAUGCUGAACCGUUCAUUUCCCUUGGAGAUGAAAACGAAGAUGACUGCUUCAGAAUAUUCUCUUCUAUAAAGCAUUAAAGCUUUGAUAAAAAAAAAAGAGUAAAUAUUCUCUUAUUUUCCUUAUUUCCUUUAUUACUUAUGCAAUCAAUAAUUGUGUUUCCCUUUGUAAUAAUUACUUUGUUGUAAUAAUUUUUAGUAUAUAUUUGUGUAUUUGUUUAUUUUUCUGGGUGGUCCCCUAGACACAAGUGAGAGCGCACAUGUCUCUUCACCUGGGUUUUUACCUUUUCAAGACCACUUUUCUAUGUUCUGUCUCCAAUAAAGUCUCAUCCUACCAGCCACGCAUGUGAAAUUACAGCAAAAUCAAUUAAAGCUGAAGAUACCCUCAAUCAUAUUGUCUCCCACGACACUUCCCUUGAUUGGCCUUUUCUGGUAAAGCUACAGUUUCGCUACAGUGGAUGAAUAAAGCUACGGUUGAAGCUACAGUUGAAGCUACAGACUCGCCACAGUUCAAGCUUCAGUUGUUUUUAAAUUCAAAGCUAUGUAACAUUUAGGGACAGAGUUUUGUUUACAAUUUUCAUAUUCUCUCUCUCUUUACGAGAAAUCAGGAUCAAGACAUCAAGGAAAAUUAUUUCCUGUCUUGUAAUUUUCCCUUUCUAAAAAAUCUGUAAACAUAUUCCAUUGUAAAGCUCUCAGAUUCAAGCAACUUAUGUAAGCAUCUCUCAUUUAAUCUAUUUAAAGUUCAAAUGCAUGUUUAGAUUUCCGCAAUUUAAUUAAAGUUUUUAAUUUUAUAAAACCUGCUACGUUCCUCUAAGGCAAAGAGACCGGAUCUCUGUCCUUAGUUGUAUCUUCUCUUCUCCCUCUAUCCAGUCAGAAUACUAUUUCUGGGAUCCAGAUCUAGUAUUAUCUAUGAGCCUUUAGACUUUGUUGCUAGGCUUGUUUAAAAGAAUUUGUUUGAAACCAUCCAUAACUUUGCCUUCUAGUAUAUCGGCUGGAAAACAGAACGUGCGAGAUAUUGAUCUGUUCUAAGUCAGAUCUGGUCUCAAAGGCAGAUUAAGUUCUGCAUCGAUUUGGUCACAACGCCACGUACUAAGGUAUAUAACCAAAUCAAUUCUUGAUUAAAAUUCAAUUUAAAAUUUACUGAAAACACAUCCAUCAUUCGAUCCUAUUUCCUUCUGGUAUCAGAGCCAAUGGGAGGAUAGUGUAAUAUAGGUUAGAGAUUUGUGUUUAAAGACUUAUGUUUUAGUUGAAUUUUGUGUGUGUGGUGAGUGUUACUUCUGGUGCCUUGGUAGUUAUCAGACCCCCAACAAUAUUAUCCUAUUUCCUUAUGGAUAAUAUUGUUAUUCCCUAGUUGCCCAUAAAUAAUCUACCCAUUCUGACCUUCUUGGCAUUCUUGUGCAUUUAUUGGUUGUAUUUUUCCUCGGAGAUAAAUUCCUUAUAUAUGCAACCAUGUCUGUAUAUGCAUAUUUUGUUGGGGGUCUAAUAUGCCUUAUUUCUAUAUCCCUAGCUAACUGAUGUUGUUGUAAAUCAAUUGCUUGUAGUGCUUCACCUUCUGUUACUUAUAUAUCUUGAGACUCAGUUUCAACAGCUUCUGGUUGUAUUUCAUCUUCACAGGUAUUAGAGAACUCCACCUCAAUCGUUUCACCUUGAUCAAUGACCUUAGUGGCUUGUGUCUUAUUUGCACUAAUGUCAGUAUCAGAAGUGACUUGAUCAGGGUUAUUGAUCAUAGCAACUUCAUUAAACUGAACAUCUCUACUAAUUAGACACUUAUUAGCCUCUCUACACCAUACCCUGUAGCCUUUUACCCCAUUCAGAUAACCAACAAACCCUCCUUUUACAGCUCUUGCAUCAAGCUUCCAUUGUCUAACAUGGACAUAAGUAGGGCAUCCAAAUACCAUGAGAUGUUCAUAACUUCCAGGCUUUCCAAACCAAAGCUCUUCAGGAGUUUUAAAGCCAAUUACAGCAUAUGGACUUUUGUUUACUAGGUAACUAGCUGUAGAAACAACUUCUGCCUAAAAACUUCUAGGAAGCUUAAAGUUUAUCAGCAAACACCUUGUCUUAUCAACAAGUGUUCUAUUCAUCCUCUCAGUUAAACUAUUUUGCUGAGAGGUGAAUCUCACUGUUUUGUGCCUCAUAAUUCCCCAUUUCUGGCAGCUUUGCUCAAAUUCUUUGUUACAAAAUUCAAGUCCAUUGUAUGUUCUUAAGCAUUUUACCUUGAAACCAGAUUGAGUCUCCACCAAAGUCUUCUGAAUCUUGAACUUUGCCAAGGCUUAGUCUUUGGUCUUCAGUAUGUAGAUCCAUACUUUCCUGGAAUACUCAUCUAUAACCGACAUGAAAUAUCUUCCCCCACUCAAAGAUGGCACCUGGGCAAGCCCCCACAGAUCAGCAUGCACAUAGUCUAAUCGUUGCCAAAAAUGCAGUUUUCACAAAAAUCUAACUCAUCUAUUUUAUCACCACACAACAAUCCUUUCUUACUCAACUCUUGCAUUCCCCUAAUACUCAUAUGGCCAAGUCUAAGAUGCCAUAACACGGUUCUAUCAACAUCAGAAAUAGCAGGCAUUGCAGCUGACACAGAUACUAAUGAUCCUUCUAACACAUAAAGGCCAUUUUUCUUUACUCAUUUCAUUAUCAUCUCAGUCCCCUUCAUAAUCUUUAAACCACCAUUCUCAUAUUUGAAGCAAUAUCCCAUACUAUCCAGCAUGCCUAAAGAGAUCAAGUUUCUCUUUAGCCUAGGUGCAUGCCUUACAUCACAUAGAGUUGUAACAGUCUCAUCAAACAUCUCUAUUUUGACAGACCCCAUACUAACAGCCUUACACACAUUGUUAUUGCCCAUCAACACUCUACCACCAUCCACAGAUUCAUAUAUAUGGAAAAGGCUUCUAUCAGGAUACAAAUGAAAGGAACAAUCUGAAUCAAGAACCCACUGACUUUUAAUAUUGUUGUAUGAAGCCACCAACAAAUUAGCCCUAUGAUUAGGGUUGGCAAUUUAAGGGCCUAGGCCGGGCUUUGCCAAGCCCAGGACCAGGCCCAUAUCUUGUUUAAAAAGUCCAGGCCCUCUCAAAGCCCAUCCAAAUUGGGCGGGCUUUGGGCGGGCCGGGCCUGUACGAAUUUUCAAAUUUUUUUUAAUAAAACUAUAAAUUUUCAAAACAUAAUUAUCCAAUACAUAAUACUACAAUAGGCUAAAAACUUAAACAUAAUUCUCUAAUACAUGAUUAGCCAACACAAAAUAUAAAAAUACUAACAUCACAAGUACCAUACACAACAUACAAAUCAAGUAAUCAACCACUAAUAUAAAAAAAAAAAAACUAAUCCAAUAUUUGCGGGCCAUUUUCGUCCUCAUCCUUCAAUUCCUCGCCGGUAAAAAUUUCUUCUUCAGGAACUCCACCUAAUAAAAAAAAGUGUUAAAAUAAAUAAUAAAGCAAAAUAAUUAGUAAUUAAUUUUGUAAAAAAAUGUUUUUAUACCUCUAUUGCUAGUAGCCCAUAACCAAUGCUGAGAGCACAUGAUAGCUUCCAACGUGUCUGGAUGUAGUCUACUUCGAUGUGGACUCAAUGUUCUACCCCCCGUACUAAAAGCCGACUCUGAGGCAACAGUUGUCACAGGUAUGGCUAGCAAAUCCUUGGCCAUCUCCGCCAAAAUAGGAUAUUUACCUUUGUUCAUCUUCCACCAUUGUAAAACAUCAAAAUCCGGAGUUCUUUUGACUAAAGGAUCCUCCAAAUACCUAUCUAAGUCAGACUUCGAACUAAUAGGUUGACUAUUUUAGGUUGCAUAUGCAUCAAAAUCACCCAAAUCAUCUAUAUCAUCAAAAUCAAUAAGAGAUUGGUCGGAAGGAACAACAAGUGCGGUAGAAGACUCACCAACAACACCGUAUCUCGUAGUUGCGAAUUUGGCCUCAUAAUAAUUCAUCAUUUCAUCACAAAGCUCCCGUACUCUCUUAAGUUGAUUUUCAAGGCCGACUACAUAAAUCUUCGGAUAAUAAUAAUUAAUCAACAUCAUCUUGUAUCUCGGAUCAAGAAUAACAGCCAUGACCAAUACCCCACUAAUCUCAUCCCAAUACUUCAAAAAUUUUCCAAUCAUGUUAUCCGCCAUAUUCUUAACUGCAGGAACAUCGGAUGUUUGCCAACCCUUCAAUGCAAUCCUCAUUUUACAAACCAAUGGAAAAAAAAAAGAUUAGCAGUGGGGUAUGUUGUACCUGAAAACAUCUCAGUCAACUUUGAAAAAAGGCCUCAAAUAAUCUAGCAUUUGCUUAGCCAACUCCCAUUCCUCACUACUAGGCAAACACUUGUAUUGUGGCUCAAGUGUUUGCAGUCGAGAAAAAACACUUUUGUACUUCACUGCAAGUUCAAGCAUCGCAAAAGUCGAAUUCCAUCUAGUUGGACAAUCAAGCCCCAACUUUUUCACAUCUAUUUGUAUUUGACGACAUGCCACCUCAAACUUUUCCACCCGUUUUGGCGAUGAACUCCAGUAAGACACACUGUCUCUAACACGUGUAAUACCACUCUCAAUCACCGACAACCCAUCCUUCACAAUUAAAUUCAAAAUAUGAGCCGCACACCUCAUAUGAAAAAAAUUACCGCUCAAUAUCAUUGACUCAGUGGACAACAAUCCCUUCAAUCUUGCAACCAUCGCAUCAUUAGUUGAACAAUUAUCCAAAGUAACUGUGGAUAACUUUCUAUCUAGAUUCCAAUCCAUCAAACACUUCACCAAAAUUUGGGAAAUGCAAUCAGCUGUAUGUGGGGCUUGCACAUAUAUAAAUCUGUUCAAAUUUAAAUAAAAAAUUUUUAAAUUUAAUAAAGUGCCUAUACUGUACAAAUUUAAAUACAAAAUUUAAAUAUUUAAUAAAGUAAAAAUACCUUAGAAUUCGACUUUGCAAAUGCCAAGAGUUGUCAAUGAAAUGCCCUGUAACAACCAUAUAACCUUUCUUUUGAUUACAAGCCGUCCACAUGUCUGUAGUAAUUGCCACCCUACUAUUAGUAAUCUCCAACAAAUUCAUUGCCUUCCCCUUUUCAAUAUUAUAUAUCUUAAAUAUCUCACUCUUUAAAGUGUUUCUGGACAUAUGCUUCACCAAUGGAUUGCAAUAAUCAACAAAAUCUCUAAAUGACUCAUACUCCACAAAUCUAAGAGGAAGCUCAUGUUUAACAACAACUGUUGUAAGUUUUUGACGUGCAACCAAUGGAUCAAAUUUCUGAAUUCCAAGCUCACCACUUUCGGUUUUCACCAAGUGUUGCUUAUUAUCAAAAACUUCUUCAAUUGUCGGUUGAUUAAAACCAUGAAUUUGUCUAGUAUGUCUAUUCAAAUGACUGGUUCCCGAUCCACAAGAAAGAAUCGUUCCACAAUGAUUGCAUUUUGCCUUUGCUACACUACCAACAUUUAGUUUUGUGAAAUGGUCCCAACAAUUUGAAACAACCCUCUGUUUUCUUUUUUUAUCAUUCCACACUUCUUCUUGAACAUUUUCCGACUCCACAGAUGGAUUUGAAGGUAAAUUAGAAGAUUCAGGGACAUUUUCCAUUAUAAACCUAUACAAAAUUAUAGGAGAUAAAAUAUUAAAUUAAUAAAUUAAUUAAGCUAAGUGUAAAAGUAGUAAACGCAUACUGCAUUUACAAGCACAGGAGUGACAGGACAGCAAAUUUACAUUUGCAAUGCCAUGGCUGAAUUGCCACCCUACUAUUAGUAAUCUCCAACAAAUUCAUUGCUUUCCCCUUUUCCACAUUAUAUAUCUUAAAUAUCUCACUCUUUAAAGUGUUUCUGGACGUAUGCUUCACCAAUGGAUUGCAAUAAUCAACAAAAUCUCUAAAUGACUCAUACUCCACAAAUCUAAGAGGAAGCUCAUGUUUAACAACAACUGUUGUAAGUUUUUGACGUGCAACCAAUGGAUCAAAUUUCUGAAUUCCAAGCAUUUUUGCCUGGUUAAACUCUUUUCUGUGUUCUAGCGAGUUCAUGUCAAAAGAACCAAGGAGGAAAAUUCGAAUAUUAUAUAUAUUGCACAAAUAACAGAAUAUUGUAAAAUAAAGUAGCAAUGAAGCAAACUUGUACAAUUUUCCAUCUGUCAAAGAACCAACACUAUAUAAUAUAUGUAUCAGAGAAUGCCUUCACCGAUAAAUUUCUUAAAAUAUUUUAAUAAAAAUCGCAAUCAUUUGAUCAUUUCCUAUCAACAAUAAUCGCAAUCAUUUCCUAUCAACAAUAAUCGCAACAAAAAAAAUGACAGGAAGCUUAAUUAACAAUUUGACAUGGAUUACCUGAGUUAGAUGCAGUGUCGCGCGGCUAUGCUGGUGGGUGGGAGGCGCUGCUGCGAGCCUACGACAUGCGGGAGAUGCUGUUGCUGCCUUGCUGGGUGGCUGGACGGUGGGUGGCUGGGCGGUGGGUUACGGCUUACGCGAGAGAUGCUCGCUGCUGCUGCUGCUGGAUGGCUGAUGCUGGCUGGACGCUGCUGAAAUCUGGAGAUGCUCGCUGCUGUUGGCUGCCGGUGGCGAGAACAGUGAGACGCCGACACGUUGACGCCGUGACAGUGAGUGAGAUUUUGUCAGUGUGCUCACUGCUCACAAAGUCACAAAUAAUGGUGCUCACGAUUUAGGGAUUUGGUUUUGUCAAUUGUCACAGUUAUAUUAUUUAUUAUAAAGCCCGAGCUUUUCAUUCAGGCCCUUAACUGAGCCCACAUGUUAUGGGCUUUAUUAAUUAUGAGCCCUUAUCCAUAAUUUCAAGCCGCGGGCUGGGCUUAAAGCCCGCGGGCCUGGGCUGGGCCUGGGCCGGCCCGGGCUUUUCUGCCAACCCUACCUAUGAUAUCCAUCAUGAGAUGAGUCAUCUGAGGCCACUAGUGCAUCCCAUGUUCUUUCUUUUUCAUUCUUCUUUUUCUCAGCAAAAUCCUUGAUGUAAUAGUCUGUUUUUUUACAGUAAAAACACUUUUUUUUCUUCAUUUUUUUCUUUUGCAGAUGCAUCAUCCUUUUUAGCUUGACUCUUGUUAUUCUUCUUCUGGUUUUUCUUAUCUGUUCGGGCAACUAAACCUUUACGAUUACUUACUUCUUGCCCAUUACUCUUUUGAAUCUCCUUAGAGCUCAAAGAGGCUUUCACAUCCCCUGGGGCUAGAGUGGUUAUUCCAUACAACAUAGUGUUAAUAAACCCUUAAUAGAUUUUAGGUAAUGAACUCAGGAAAAAGAAGGCUUUAUCCUCAUAAGUGAUUUUCACAUUUUCAACUCCUUCAAGAUCAAGAAUGAUCUUGUUGAAGUUAUCAAUGUGUUCUUGAAUAGAAACCCCUUCUUUCAUAGAGAAGGUGUAUAAUCUUUUCUUUAAGAACAAUCAACAUGCCAAGGACGUUUUCAUACAUAGAGCCUCCACCUUGUUCCAAAUACCAAGGGUUGUAUUCUCUUUAAAAAUUUUCCUUAGAUUUGAGUCACUAAGACGCAAGAUCAAGGUACUGUGAGCCUUAUUUUGUAUCUAUCUUUUCUUCUCAUCAGAGACUGAACUUAGAAGCACCUCUAAGAUUAUCUUAUUCUAGAGCUGAUUCAAGACCCUCAUUAACAAGGAGAGCCCUCAUUUUCAUAUUCUAAAGUGAAAAAUCACCACCAAUUGUGAACUUUUCAAUAUCGUGCUUUCGAAGAGACAUGUUCUUGAACCACCAAAGGCUCUGAUACCAAUUGUUAUAACUUCUAAUAGAUACAAAAGAAAUUUUAAGAAGCACUUUGACGAAUUGGACUAGAAAGAACAGAUCAAAAUAAACCAAUCAAGAAAGAAAUCACAAGAAACAGAUUUAAAGCACAGUUCCAAGUAUACAACUUGAUGAAGGAAAAAAAAAAAGCUCUUUAUUGAUCUCAACAAUUGAAUUACAAGCUAAUCACAAAAAAGAAAUUACAAGGAUCACAAAGAACCAAAUUGUAAGCAAAAUGAACAAGAAAUGAACAAGAUAUCGAUAUGAUAUUAGAGGCCAGUCACAAGUGCCUUUUAUUAUGAUAUUUCUAGAAAAAGUCAUAAUGAACUCUCAAUGAAUUCUGCCACAUCAGCAUAAGUUUUUCAACUAGACCCCUCCAACUGAAGUCGAUCUGCACACUGCCCCAAGAAUUCUUCAAAUCUUACAUUUAAACGCAACGAACCAGCAACUUAUUUCCUCAUAAUGUUCUUAUAAUUUUUGUAUGCCAAUUUGGUAAACAAAUCAAAACCUCUUUGUGAAGAAUAAUUUUCAAAAUUCGGCAUGAACUCGGGAUGAUGAAAUUUAUUAAUAUCUCUAAUCAUGUUAUUAAUAUUAUUAAAAUUGAUUUCUUGAUGAUUUUGAUGAUUGAUUAUGAUAUGUGUAUUGCUUGAUGAAUUGAUGGAAUUGUUGGUUUAUUAUAAUUGUUUAAGGUUAUAGGGGAGUGUCUUUACAAAUGUUGUGUAUUUGAGAAUUUGUUCAUUUUUAAGGGAAGACUUUGCCGAAAUUCUUGCUCACACAAAAUAGGUAAUAUCUUCAUCAAAUUAUUUUUUAUAACCUUAUUUCGAUUGCAUCUAUCUAUCUUUUCUUUUUUAAGAUGAAGGGGGAGAUAAAUAUGAUAUGUUUUUAGAUAAAAUCAUUUUGGUUAAAAUUUUAAAUUAGCCAUAUAUUUAGGGGGAGCAUACAAUAUGAUUUUGGAUAAUAUGCAUUUUGAACUUUUUUUGUUGUCCAAAGGGGGAGACAAAGUAAUAUAUUAUUUCAAUGUUAUCCAAAAGGAAGAGAAUAUAUGCACCUUGAGUAUUGUUUUGAUGAUUGAUAUGUGAUUAUGGUGAUGAUUUUGAUGAUUUUUGGAUAUGAUGAUGAUUUGAUUAUAUGGUUGUUUUAUAUGAUAAUUUUAUGUUAUGAGUUGUUGAUUUGGUAAUUGAUGGAAUAAUGGUCCAUGAUUUUUUUAUGGUUGAUGGAUUGUGUGAUGAUUUGUAUAUGGAGUUGGCUUAUAUCAUGAUUUAUAAUAAUUUGGGAGUAAUAUUAUUAAACUUGUAUUUGAGGUAAUGUUCGUUGUUAGGGGGAGAUUCUAUCAAAAUUUAUACUCAGACAACAUGGAUAACAAAUUUACUACUUUCUUUCUUUUCUACUAAGUUUUCUUUUUUAUGAUGAAGAGGGAGAAGAAUAUAUGUAUUUAAAUUUGUUAAUUUAGCAAAAUUAUAAUAGAAGAUUACAUUUAGGGGGAACAAUUUGUGGAAUCAUUCUUUAAAUAUAUGAAAGGUUUGUCAUCAUAAAAAAUGGGGAGAUUGUUAACAUAUAUGUUUUCAAAAUAUUGAUUUUGAUAAUAACAAACAAGAUUAAUAAUGAUUAAUAUUUUAAGCUCAAAUUGUAAGGGGAGCUUACAUUUAGGGGGAGUAAUUUGUGCAAUCAUUUUUUAAAUACAUGAAAAUUUUGUCAUCAUCAAAAAGGGGGAGAUUGUUAACAUAUAUGUUUCCAUGAUAUUGAUUUUGAUGAUAACAAGCAAAAUUAAGAAUGAUUAAGUUUUUUAAAAGCUCAAAUUAUUUUUUUAUACAUUUUAAAUAAAUCAUUAUUUUCACAUUAUAAAGGUUUUAUAUUUAGUGGAAAAAUGAUUUUAUAAAAUUGGUUGUUUUUCAAGUUUAUGGUCUAAUUGAAAGAGUUUUGAAAACUUUGAAAUCAACAAGUAUUGCUUAGAAUUAUGGAGAAAGACUUAUUUGAAAAGUUUCAUAGCGUUUUGGGUGAUAUCAUAACUCCAAAAAGUUUUAGGAAUAACAAGUAUUAUUUAAAAAUUCUAAAAUUGGACUUUUCUGGAAAGUUUUAUCCCGUUUUGGGCCAUAGCUUAAUUCUAUAAAGUUUUGGGUCAACACUAUAAUUUUUUAAAAUAGUUCACUGUAGUAGUCACUAUAGCUAAGCGGCUAAUCAGAUUUGACAAGUGGUAGAUCGGAUUUUGGACAGCAACUCACUGGAAUGAAAGAGGCUAACCAGAUUCAGAAAACGGCAUGCGGAUGUUCUAAAAUUCAAAUAUUUGUUGUAACGGUAACAUAAAAGCGGCUAAUCGGAUCCCAAAAGAGGCAAAUCAGUUAUAAUUAGAAAACUCAUAAUGGCUAGUUUCUGAGCUUAAACUAUAUAAACUCAAAUCCAAUUCAUUUUUGGCAGUCUUGCCAAGCAUAAACAAGUCCACAACAUAUAUUGAGCUUCAAUUUCGCAAAUCAUCAUAAAUUAAAUCUUCAUUGAGCUAUCAUUUGAAUAUCCACUCUAAAAGAGUGUUGUUUGUUAUCAUUAGAAAACUUAUAACGGGUAGUUUCUGGGCUCAAAGUAUAUAAACUCAAAUCCAAUUCAUUUUUGGCAGUCUUGGCAAGCAUAAACAAGUUCACACAAUAUAUAUUAAGCUUGAAUUUCGUAAAUCAUCAUAGAUUAAAUCUUCAUUGAGCUAUCAUUUGUAUAUCCACUCUAAAAGAGGGUUGUUUGUUGUAAUUUUCAUUUCUCAUCAAAUUGUGAGUGUACAAGUGUGAGAAAUAUUUAGAAUGAAGAGAAUGUGGAGAAAAUCUCUUGAUUGUAAAGGUCCAUUGACACCUUGGAAGUCAAUUGUAAAGAGCUUGAAGCCUUAAGAUGCUUGGAUAGUGAAAUCCUCAAGCCGGGUGAGCUUGGAGGUGUGGAUGUAGGCGAGGAUUGCCGAACCACGUAAAAAUCAUUGUGUUUGUUUUCUCUUCUCUUACUCUCUUAUUAUUGUGCUUUAUUGAAUUUAUUGUUUUUUAUUCCAUUAAGGCAUUAGAUUAAAUUGCUAUGUGAUUUGCUUAGCUUAAAUUUUAAAAAUUUCAAUUCAUCCCCCCUUCGGUUGCCUAGUUAGUAUUUCAAUAUAAGGAUGAUUUCCAUUUUUCUUUGGAAUCAAAACUCAUAUAAAGAAAAAAAAAGUAAAUAUAAUUGUCCAUCCUUUCAUGUGAACAAAUAACAAUACUGAUUUUCUUUUAAUUAAAAUCAAACCAAAAUUGGGAGAUGGCCUCAUCGCCCAUCAAUUGUUGUUGGGAGAUGGGUCAUUACCCAUCAAUUAUCUAUCAAAAUAACAAAAUUUCCUGUCAAGUAUGUAAAUUAAAAUGUGAAACAAAGACAUGUUUGUCGUAAUAGUCAUCGCUUACUUGUCAUUAUAUAAGGAUGAUUUCCAUUCUUCUUUGGAAUCAAAACUCAUAUAAAGAAAAACAAAUACAGUAAAUAUAAUUGUCCAUACUUUCACGUGAACAAAUAACAAUAUUGAUAUUGAACUUGAAAUUUUAUCUAUCAAAAUAACUUAAAUUAAUGUCUUCUUUUAAUUAAAAUCAAACCAAAAUUGGGAGGUGGCCUCAUCACCCAUCGAUUGCUAUUGGCAGAUGGGCCAUUACCCAUCAAUUAUCUAUCAAAAUAAUAGAAUUUUCGGUCAAGUAUGGAAAUUAAAAUGUAAAACAAAGACAUGUUUGCCGCAAUAGUCAUCGCUUACUUGUCGCUAUACAAGGAUGACUUCCAAACUUCUUUGGAAUCCAAAGUCAUAUAAAAAAAACAAUAAAUACAAUUCUCCAUCCUUUUGUGUGAAUAAAUAGCAAUAUCGACAUUGAAUAUGAAAUUUUUUCUAUCAAAAUAACUAAAAUUGUUUGCAGUUGGAUAAAAUUUUAUUUAAUUUAUUUUCUGUCUGUCUUGUAUCUUAAUUUAGUUCUUAUGUUUGUUACAAUAAUUUUGUUUCAGAUUAAAGAAUUACUUCUUAAAUUUUAGAUUGUUUGAAUGAUAACAAAAAAAAUUAUAUUAUACAAGUAAAAGAAAUUAAAGAGAGAAAAACAUAAAUGGAGUUAUUCUAUUUGUAUUUGUCCUUAAAUAUAAUUAUAAUCUAAUAUAAUUUUAUAAAAUUAAAAAAAAUCAACUUGGUUUUGGUGAACAAAGAAAAUUCUUAGCUAGUGCAAGAGGCAUCGGAGGGCCCUGCAAAAAAAUAUAAAUGGGCUACACGGACCGUUGGCUGUCCGAAUUCUAUGAAUGUUACUAAUAGAUACAAAAGAAUACAAAUUUAUCAUUUUUUCCUUCUUCAAGAAAUAUUAAUUUCCUCUUUUUUUUUUGGAGAAAUACAUUAACCUAUUAUCCAAGGAAGAGAGCUGGUUGUAUUAGAUUUAAUAUGGUAAAAUAACUAGCAGAGAGUUUACUGCAAAAAAUAAAGAAAAUAUGGAGAGAUAUAUUUUCAAGGCAGUUGUAGAAUAAUUAAUAAAAGAGAGAUUGUCUUAAAAAAAAAAAGAGAGAUUGUGAGAUUCUUCCUACUGAAAUCAAUAUCUAUCACUUACCUCCUUCUAUUUUCAUAAUAUCUAAUAAUUUCCUUGGCAACAUAAUUUAAUAGUAUUAAUCGUAUCUUUUUAUUCACAUUUAUUAUAAAUUGAAUAAAUCAUAUAAAUGUAAAUUAAAAUAAAAAAUUGAAUUACUAAAAAUAAAAAAUAUAUAUUUUGGCGUGAAUAAAAAAUUAAUAAUAAAAUAUUUUUUCUUUUAUUUUUUAUUUUUAAAUAUUUUCUUAUAAAAAAUAUAUAUAUUUUAUAUUCCGAUGAUAAGUUAUUACAUGAAGAGUAAAAAUUGUUAAGUGAAUGACCCAUUUACUUUUAUUUUCCUUUAAAUUUUUUUAUGCUCAUUGAGUUUUUUUAUAUGAUGAAAAAAAAAGAAAAUAAGUGGUAAAUAUCAAUUUUAAUAAAAGAGAAAUUAUUUGUAGAGCAAUAAAGGACCCUGCAAAGAAAUAAAAAUGUGCUUACUACUUGUAGAGGCAAAGCUUAUGUUACAUCAGUUGUAACAACAACCAAUACAUAUGGGUGGUUAGAUUUUGAUAUUUCUUAACCUAAUGGAUGAAAAAUAAUUUUAAUGAAAAACAAGGUAUUGGUGUAAUAACUAUUUACAAAAAAAAAUUAUUUUGAAUCACACAUUUACUUAUUUUUUCAAAUAAGUCCUCCUUAAUUUUUUAAAACUAAAUAAUUUUGUCGUCCAUCUCUUUUACGUCUAUUUUUAAAAUUUUUUAAAGUUUUUACUAUAUUUUUAUAAAGAUCUAAAUGAUUUACAUAUUUAUAAAAAUCUACAAAUUUUAAAUAUAUAUUUGCAUUUACAUUUAUAAUUUUUUGUCUCUCUUAAGAUAUAAACUAUAUUUUUUUCUUUAAUAUAAUUCAAGAUGCUAAAUUUAGAUAAGAGAUAUUAUAUGUGCUAAAUAUUUAUGACUCUAAUAAAUUACUAGAAAGAUGGUAUAAUGAAUAAAUCAUUAGAACCUCCAAUAAUUUCACAAAAUAUAAAAACUAAUAAAUUAUCACAUUCUAACUAUACAAAAAGAGGAUUUUCGUAUGAAAGAUUUCAAUAUUUUGAUCCGAUCCAUUAUUCAGACAUGCGGAGAAAUAAUCAAUUAAAUUGAAUUUCACUAUAUUUAUCAAAUACAUUAGGAAACCCAAAUUUAUCUAUAAAUGACAUAAAAAAAUAAAAUAUUAAAAAUUAAUAAUUUCAAUGAAGAAAACAUACAACCAAUUAAAAAGUUAGUAGUUCAAAUGAGUAAAAAAUUUAAUAAAGUUAAACAAUUAAUAAAAGACUUUAACAUUAGAGAUCAUGAUAUUUUAAAGUAAAAAAUCAUUAAUAUAAUGAAUAAAAACUCAAUAGAUAUAAGAUUAAAUAAGUUGGAGAUUCAAUUAGAUAAAAUAAAAACUUGGUACUAAAUUUGUUAUAAAUAUAAAUGGAAAACUUAAAAAAAAAAUGAAGUACUUGCUGCGUAGUCUAGCUGUAGCUUGGGGUUUAAAAUAAAAAUGUAAAACUUAUUGACUUUUUUAUAAUUAUAAACUUUUUUGAUGAUUUAAAAAUUUAUAGAUGUUUGUUACAGAUAACGUAACAUAAGCUUUGCCACUUGUAGAAAAUUCUUAGUCUCAGACGAGCAUUAAAAUCUUAGUGCCGUCCUCGGACCGCUGGCUUCCGAAUCCCCACUACUAUAAAUAAUAUAGAUUCAAGAGAACACUCACCUGUCAUCCAUUCAUCCUUUCCAUCUUCAAUUAAUAUUCGUGUAUUGAUAUUAAUUACUUCUUACUUUAUUUUGGGCAUAACAAAAAUGGGAUUGGGCUCUAAGAUUUUCCUUCUUUUAGGUCUUGUAAUGACUAUUGUUGUUCUUCUUACUUCGACGAAGGUGGCAGCACUAGAAACCUGGCUGAGGCUUCCAUUGCAACGCGAAAAGGUAAGCUUCUUGGUUUCUGUAUUAACAUGGGUCAUCAUAUCUAUAUAUGUAUAUAUUUAUUAACAUAACAUAACAAUCAGAUUAAUUUCUUCCAGCAAAGCCAAUUAAUGAGCUUCGUUAUACGGUGGUGACCGAUGGUUUACAAAAUGAAUUAUUAUAAAGAUACAAAAAAACUAAGUUGGCCAAAUUGCCAAGAGAACGAGGGAUUGAACCAUCCAAAAAAUUAAAAAAAUUAAAUCUAAAAUAAGGUGAUUAAGAAAAGUCAAUUGGCCUACCUCUUGUGGAAUUGAACCAUUCAAUUGAUUUCUAGAAAUGUGAAGGACCGUUAGAUGAGUCAAAAGGCCAAUUUCUGAUGGUAUCUGACCAGACAACUUAUUAGCUGAAAAAUCAAGUUAUUCUAGUUUGGAAAGGUUACUAAUUUGAGGAAGGAUGAUAUAGAAGAGCUCGUUAUUAUAUAAAACAAGAUACGCAAGAUGAGGAAAUGAUGAGAAUGGGAAUUCAAGAAGAGUACCGUUUAGACUCAUGCUUGUCAGGUUAAUUCCGACAACUCUUCCCGCAUGGUUGCAAUGAAUUCCUGACCAAGCACAUGGGCUUAUUUUGGUGACAUUUACAGAAGAAAGAAACCAUGAAUGCAAGAGAGAACGACUAUGGACUUUAAGGCUGGCUUUCCAUUUCACAAGAGCAUGGCCUUCUUCUAUAGAAUUAGAAGAAACAUCAAGUGAAAAGUCUAAAACAAGAAACAAGAUGAGGGGAAAAACGAGUGAUAUAAUUACUCUAUUAUUUUUCAAGGCUGCUGAAUCCAUUGAUUAUGUUGUUGGGUAGCAAUAGAAAACAAAGAUGAAAAUAGAAGAUGAAUUACAGAAACCAAACGGUGAUGGAGAAAAGAAGCACACUAACACUACUAGAAAAAUAGUCUUUUGUGACACUUGUCUUCUGACACUUUAUUAUAAAGUAUCAGUAAUUACAUGUAUUUGGGGUAUUUUCCGUGUUUAACAGAUAAGUAUCACAAAUUGCUAAUACUAUGGUGUCAGUAAAUUAAAUAUCACAGAUUCGUGACACUAAAGUAUUUGUAGUUAAAAAAAUAAAAUUUUAAUUUCAUAUCUAGAAAUAAUCGAACCGAAGACCCCUAAGCCAUAACCUUUUGAUUUUAACCGCCAUACCACUCGGCCACAAAUUGCAUUUUUAAACAUAUAAAUAAAUAAAUAAAUAAAUAUUAAACUUAAAACCUGAAACCCAAAACCUAAAACCUAAAAUUUUUUCAUGUAUGGUCUGUGUGAAACCUAAAACCUAAAAAUUUUUGUUAAGUCAAAAAUCUAUCACGGCCGUCGAAGCUUUCUUCCUUCUCUCUCCUUCCCUCUCUCUCGCUCUCUUUCUCUCUCUAACAAUGAUAUACCUUGAAAGCCGCCUCCAUCAACACCUUGAAAGCCGCCGUCCUUAAGCUAAAAUAUCCCUAAAAAGAACCCAGAAAGUGCUGUGAAGAAUUUGGGCAAAGUUAAGGUUUGAAAGUCCGAAUCAGUGUUGUGGUAACUCUUUGUCUCAUUCUCUAUUCUCAUUGUUUAAGUAUUUAUCUGUUAAUUGAUUGAUGUUUAUUGAGUGCAAAUGAGAGCUUGCACUUGUUUGGAAAUCUAGCCAUCUAGGGUUUUUGUUGCUUAUAAUCUAAUUUAUUGUUUAAUAAAAUAAAUAAAACGCAACUUUAUUAUAGGUGGAAUUCAGUUUAUUAAGUGAAAAAAUGAUCACAAUCAAUGAUUAUGGAUUUAGGUUGAAUGCAAUUUGUUAAUUAAAAGAAUAAUGGCAAUCGACAAUCAUGUGUUUAGUAUGUAUUAUAUAUUUCGUUUAAUGGUGUGUAUGAAAACCCAAAACUUAAAAUUUUCUUUAAGUAAAAAUCUCAGUUCUCCCUCACGACCUAUAUGCUCAUCUCUCUCUCUCUCUCUCUCUCUCUCUCUCUCCCCACUCUUUCUAGCUAACAACCCAAAACUUAUUGUGAAACCGCCAUAUCAAUCUUUCAAAGCUCAUUAGUUAGCUGGUUAUUGUGAAAAGUAAGGUAGGUUAUUGUUUGCUCAAAGCUCAUUAGUUAGCUGGUUAUUGUGAAAAGUAAGGUUAUUGUUUGCUUUUAUGUCUAAUUUUACUUUAAACAUGGGGAUUGAUGAUAUUCGAGUUGCCGGACACUUGAUUUUGAGGUGAAAGAUUAAUUAAUAGUUUACGAAAUUAUGCUGAAAAUUUGAGGAUUGAUAAACUGUUGUUGUGAACUUGGUUGUUUCCAAACUUGACUAAAUGGCUUUCAAUUGAUUUGAAAGUUUGAUUAAACUAAGUUUAAACGAGAACAUUUUAAUUCUGGAAAUUUUGGAAUGAAUUGGGUUUAUAUUUGAUUUUGAAUGGAUUUUAUGUACCAUGUUUGAUAUUGCAAACGUAUAGUCUAACAGAGUUAGAAUAAGCUGAAAUUUGGAUAAACUACACUUCUAUUGCAUACUUUGAAUCUGGAAAAUUUUAUUUUGUUUGAACUUGUAAUUUAUUUUUAAUGAUUUUUCAAACUCUGCUGCCUCUGCAGUAACUUCUUUUGACAGAACUGUUCAUUAAUCUUUGAUCCUAUCAAACACCAGCCUAAUGAUAUCGGAAUAACCUCAAAUUUUAAUAUGUUGUUCACUUAUAUGUCCACUUAAAAUUUGAAAAGUAUCAUUAUGAUAUAUUUAGUAUUUUAAAUUUAAUAAAUAUUCAAACACCUGCUGCUAC